Molecule: small nucleolar RNA, 105 nt
Organism: Pongo abelii (Sumatran orangutan)
Lineage: Eukaryota; Metazoa; Chordata; Mammalia; Primates; Hominidae
Source: Ensembl
AUCCUUCUGUAGUUCAUGAGCGUGAUGAUUGGGUGUUCGCAUACAUGUGUGAGAUGUGCCACCCCCUGAACCUAGUUACGAUGUGGGGACAUUACCUGUCUGACC